UGGAAACGUUCAGGUGGUCAAUCAGCAUCUGUGGAGAGAAGAGUUCAUGUUUCAGCUAAUUGGUCUACAGGUCCUGUGCUUGUUCUAUAUUUCAAAAGGAGAUGGGACAUGAUUAGCUCGCCACCAGUUCUCUGGCACAAUCCUUUUCCCUGAGAACCCUCAUCUGAGUGUAACUAGUCUGCGUUUGGGCCUGCAAAGCUGAGACCAGUUGGUGAGAACUUCCAAACAUCCACCAGGACCAGUGGCCCAUCUUCACAUGAGGGAACUCCAGGCCGACAGCAUCAAGAUCCUCCAGAUUUUAUCCUUUAUCUUAUAGUACCUGCCCUCCAAACCCAUUUCUGCAGAGAGACUCUCUCUGUUUGGCCUUCGUUUACCUGUGUGUAUGUCUGUGCGGGGGCUAGGGGAAAUUUUUUAGAAAGAGAUAGAUAGUUCCCGAUUUACAAUUGUGUGUUAACCGGUACUUGCAACUUGUUAAAAGAUGUUUUGUUUUAAAAUAAA
Molecule: long non-coding RNA, 498 nt
Organism: Carcharodon carcharias (great white shark)
Lineage: Eukaryota; Metazoa; Chordata; Chondrichthyes; Lamniformes; Lamnidae
Exons: 3
Source: RefSeq, a predicted model, not a curated record